This 301-nucleotide ribosomal RNA is filed under the name uncultured bacterium. Its description in RNAcentral is "partial 16S ribosomal RNA". It matches the Rfam family "Bacterial small subunit ribosomal RNA", at positions 509 to 807 of the family's 1533-position model. The record is from RNAcentral.
CAGCAGCCGCGGUAAAACGGAGGGGGCUAGCGUUGUUCGGAAUUACUGGGCGUAAAGCGCACGUAGGCGGCUUGGUAAGUUAGAGGUGAAAGCCCGGAGCUCAACUCCGGAAUUGCCUUUAAGACUGCCGAGCUAGUAGGUGAGAGAGGUAAGUGGAAUUCCGAGUGUAGAGGUGAAAUCCGUAGAUAUUCGGAAGAACACCAGUGGCGAAGGCGGCUUACUGGCUCAUUCUAGACGCUGAGGUGCGAAAGCGUGGGGAGCAAACAGGAUUAGAUACCCGCGUAGUCCCUGUCUCUUAUAC